AUGAACGCUGGCGGCGUGCCUAAUACAUGCAAGUCGAGCGAACAGACGAGGAGCUUGCUCCUCUGACGUUAGCGGCGGACGGGUGAGUAACACGUGGAUAACCUACCUAUAAGACUGGGAUAACCUCGGGAAACCGGAGCUAAUACCGGAUAAUAUAUUGAACCGCAUGGUUCAAUAGUGAAAGACGGUUUUGCUGUCACUUAUAGAUUGAUCCGCGCCGCAUUAGCUAGUUGGUAAGGUAACGGCUUACCAAGGCGACGAUGCGUAGCCGACCUGAGAGGGUGAUCGGCCACACUGGAACUGAGACACGGUCCAGACUCCUACGGGAGGCAGCAGUAGGGAAUCUUCCGCAAUGGGCGAAAGCCUGACGGAGCAACGCCGCGUGAGUGAUGAAGGUCUUCGGAUCGUAAAACUCUGUUAUUAGGGAAGAACAAAUGUGUAAGUAACUAUGCACGUCUUGACGGUACCUAAUCAGAAAGCCACGGCUAACUACGUG
This 496-nucleotide ribosomal RNA is filed under the name uncultured bacterium. Its description in RNAcentral is "partial 16S ribosomal RNA". It matches the Rfam family "Bacterial small subunit ribosomal RNA", at positions 29 to 507 of the family's 1533-position model. The record is from RNAcentral.